Molecule: ribosomal RNA, 468 nt
Filed under: uncultured bacterium
Lineage: Bacteria
Description: partial 16S ribosomal RNA
Rfam family: Bacterial small subunit ribosomal RNA
Source: RNAcentral
GACGAACGCUGGCGGCGUGCUUAACACAUGCAAGUCGAACGGAAAGGCCCUGCUUUUGUGCGGUGCUCGAGUGGCGAACGGGUGAGUAACACGUGAGUAACCUGCUCUUGACUUUGGGAUAACUUCAGGAAACUGGGGCUACUACCGGAUAGGAGCUCCUGCUGCAUGGUGGGGGUUGGAAAGUUUCGGCGGUUGGGGAUGGACUCGCGGCUUAUCAGCUUGUUGGUGGGGUAGUGGCUUACCAAGGCUUUGACGGGUAGCCGGCCUGAGAGGGUGACCGGCCACAUUGGGACUGAGAUACGGCCCAGACUCCUACGGGAGGCAGCAGUGGGGAAUAUUGCACAAUGGGCAGAAGCCUGAUGCAGCAACGCCGCGUGCGGGAUGACGGCCUUCGGGUUGUGAACCGCUUUCGCCUGUGACGAAGCGUGAGUGACGGUAAUGGGUAAAGAAGCACCGGCUAACUACGUG